RNAcentral lists this ribosomal RNA (253 nucleotides) under uncultured bacterium. RNAcentral's name for it is "partial 16S ribosomal RNA". It matches the Rfam family "Bacterial small subunit ribosomal RNA", at positions 524 to 776 of the family's 1533-position model. The record is from RNAcentral.
UACGGAGGGUGCAAGCGUUGUUCGGAAUCACUGGGCGUAAAGCGCGUGUAGGCGGCCAUCUAAGUCUGGUGUGAAAGCCCUGGGCUCAACCCAGGAAGUGCACUGGAUACUGGAUGGCUGGAGUACCGGAGAGGAGGGUGGAAUUCCUGGUGUAGCGGUGAAAUGCGUAGAUAUCAGGAGGAACACCGGUGGCGAAGGCGUCCCUCUGGCCGGAUACUGACGCUGAGACGCGAAAGCGUGGGGAGCAAACAGG